Molecule: ribosomal RNA, 909 nt
Filed under: uncultured organism
Description: bacterial SSU rRNA
Rfam family: Bacterial small subunit ribosomal RNA
Source: RNAcentral
GUUGAUCCUGGCUCAGGAUGAACGCUGGCGGUCUGCUUAACACGUGCAAGUCGAACGCAACCUUCGGGUUGAGUGGCGGACGGGUGAGUAACGCGUGAGAAUCUGCCUUGGGGUCGGGGACAACCACUGGAAACGGUGGCUAAUACCGGAUAAGCCUUUGGGUAAAAGAUUUAUUGCCCCAAGAGGAGCUCGCGUCUGAUUAGCUAGUUGGUGAGGUAAAAGCUCACCAAGGCAGCGAUCAGUAGCUGGUCUGAGAGGACGAUCAGCCACACUGGGACUGAGACACGGCCCAGACUCCUACGGGAGGCAGCAGUGGGGAAUUUUCCGCAAUGGGCGAACGCCUGACGGAGCAAGACCGCGUGAGGGAGGAAGGCUCUUGGGUUGUAAACCUCUUUUCUCAGGGAGGAAGCUCUGACGGUACCUGAGGAAUCAGCCUCGGCUAACUCCGUGCCAGCAGCCGCGGUAAUACGGAGGAGGCAAGCGUUAUCCGGAAUUAUUGGGCGUAAAGCGUCCGCAGGUGGCGAUUCAAGUCUGCUGUCAAAGCACGGGGCUUAACUCCGUUAAGGCAGUGGAAACUGAAUAGCUAGAGUGCCGUAGGGGUAGAGGGAAUUCCCGGUGUAGCGGUGAAAUGCGUAGAGAUCGGGAAGAACAUCGGUGGCGAAAGCGCUCUACUGGACGGCAACUGACACUCAGGGACGAAAGCUAGGGGAGCGAAUGGGAUUAGAUACCCCAGUAGUCCUAGCUGUAAACGAUGGAUACUAGGUGUAGCUUGUAUCGACCCGAGCUGUGCCGAAGCUAACGCGUUAAGUAUCCCGNCUGGGGAGUACGCACGCAAGUGUGAAACUCAAAGGAAUUGACGGGGGCCCGCACAAGCGGUGGAGUAUGUGGUUUAAUUCGAUGCAACGCGAA